RNAcentral lists this ribosomal RNA (455 nucleotides) under uncultured bacterium. RNAcentral describes it as "partial 16S ribosomal RNA". It matches the Rfam family "Bacterial small subunit ribosomal RNA", at positions 355 to 803 of the family's 1533-position model. The record is from RNAcentral.
UGGGGAAUUUUGGACAAUGGGCGAAAGCCUGAUCCAGCAAUGCCGCGUGUGUGAAGAAGGCCUUCGGGUGCUAAGCACUUUUGUCCGGAAAGAAAUCCUUGGCUCUAAUACAGUCGGGGGAUGACGGUACCGGAAGAAUAAGCACCGGCUAACUACGUGCCAGCAGCCGCGGUAAUACGUAGGGUGCAAGCGUUAAUCGGAAUUACUGGGCGUAAAGCGUGCGCAGGCGGUUUGCUAAGACCGAUGUGAAAUCCCCGGGCUCAACCUGGGAACUGCAUUGGUGACUGGCAGGCUAGAGUAUGGCAGAGGGGGGUAGAAUUCCACGUGUAGCAGUGAAAUGCGUAGAGAUGUGGAGGAAUACCGAUGGCGAAGGCAGCCCCCUGGGCCAAUACUGACGCUCAUGCACGAAAGCGUGGGGAGCAAACAGGAUUAGAUACCCUGGUAGUCCACGCCCU